CGUCACCGGGGACGCCGUCGGCGAACGUCAGGCGGAUCCGCACGCCGAGCGCGCUGACAUCGAGCGGAGCGUACCGGGUCCCCUCCGGUGCGGACGCC
This 98-nucleotide transfer RNA is filed under the name Microbacterium azadirachtae. RNAcentral describes it as "tRNA-OTHER". Lineage: Bacteria; Bacillati; Actinomycetota; Actinomycetes; Micrococcales; Microbacteriaceae. The record is from RNAcentral.